UACGGGGGGGGCAAGCGUUGUUCGGAAUUACUGGGCGUAAAGGGCUCGUAGGCGGCCAACUAAGUCAGACGUGAAAUCCCUCGGCUUAACCGGGGAACUGCGUCUGAUACUGGAUGGCUUGAGUGUGGGAGAGGGAUGCGGAAUUCCAGGUGUAGCGGUGAAAUGCGUAGAUAUCUGGAGGAACACCGGUGGCGAAGGCGGCAUCCUGGACCACGACUGACGCUGAGGAGCGAAAGCGUGGGGAGCAAACAGG
RNAcentral lists this ribosomal RNA (253 nucleotides) under uncultured bacterium. RNAcentral describes it as "partial 16S ribosomal RNA". It matches the Rfam family "Bacterial small subunit ribosomal RNA", at positions 524 to 776 of the family's 1533-position model. The record is from RNAcentral.